UCAAUUUCAUUCAAACUAAUUGAAACUUGAUUUCAGGUGGCAUCAACAUAGAGCAUAGAUUAGGGCAAUUAUGUAAAUAUGGUAAGCAUACAUAGUGACAGUAAAGAGUGUGGUCCUAGCUAUUAUAGUAUGACAAGCUGUCUUGAUUGCAAUUUUUUCAUGGGUCCAAGUUUUUUCACUGCAUUUCUUUUCUUAACAUUUCCACCUACUCUUCCUUCAUAUUAUAAAUGGGCAAAACAUCAUCUUCUUCAUUUCUACCCCCCUACAUCUCUCUCUAACAGACACACAUUUCCCUUCAUCUCCUCCCGAGAAUGACAACAAGUUCGGGUGCGUUGGAACAAGAUGGAGAAGCAGGGCACGUGCAUUACUAACUUAUGCACAAAUCUUCAGUUAGUGUUUCAUGUGCCCUUUUUCCCCAUCUUGACCACUCAACCCUUUCAGAUGGAAGCAGUACAAGAUUACAUUUCAGAAGAAACUAAUCUUCACUUUCUGAUUCAUAGUCAGGUUAACUAUGAUGGACGAAAGGGAGCCAAGCUUGGCCUAGGGGAUAUAAGGAGAGCUGUGAUUCACCUUGAUUUUGGUUUUUUCUGUUUGUUUUUUUUCUUCAUCAAUUUGAUUAACUUGUGACAAUCAAUGUCAUAAAUUGGUUUGUAUCAACUCUUUGGUGUUUUUCACAAUGUCACGAUCUUCACGACAGAGUGACUAAUGAAAAGUUAUAGCUUUUCAAAAUUUAUUCAAUAAAAAGGUUCAUCCUAUCACCCAAACAAGCAGUGUCAAAAGCAAAGUAUUUUAAAAAACGCAUUAUGCAUUGUCCAACAUUGUGGGUCAAGAGGAAAUGAUUUGCAAGGAAGCAGUUAUACAGGAUGAAAAGAGGAGUGGAUGAAAAAUAUUGGAUGAAAGAACUUGGAAUUCUAAGUUCAAACCUCAAGCCAAGCUUAUGAGGGAAUGACAAAGAUGAGCAAAUAAAACUUUUCUAGAUAUGUUUAUCUUUUACAUUUUACCAUUAGGAUUUAAUAAUGCAUUAGGUCCCAUUCCAAGUGAACUCAUAUUAGGAUAGAAGUAACAUUUUUCACCAGGCACUUGCCUUUUGCUAUUCUACCAUAACAAGCUGUACUCUGUACAACCCACCCUUGGGUAGCUCAGUAACAAGAAGUUUGGAC
This is a long non-coding RNA of Impatiens glandulifera, 1160 nucleotides long. RefSeq lists it as uncharacterized. The record is from RefSeq and is a predicted model, not a curated record. The transcript has 2 exons. Lineage: Eukaryota; Viridiplantae; Streptophyta; Magnoliopsida; Ericales; Balsaminaceae.